GCGGGAGGGAAGAAGGGGGCGUUACCGUUUGCGUGAGAGUGCGGCCGCUCAUUGCGAGAGAAAAUGAAGAUCUUGUUGAUGAAAAAGGACAGGUUUCAUGGAAAAGUGAAGACUGCACUGUAUCACAAAUAGAUGGAACCAACUCGUUUGUCUUUGAUCGUGUGUUCCACUCUAACAACAGUACAAAGGAAGUCUACCAAGGUGUGACUGCUUCUAUUAUCAAGUCGGCAGUUCAAGGAU
Notechis scutatus (mainland tiger snake) is the source of this 240-nucleotide non-coding RNA. The record is from RefSeq and is a predicted model, not a curated record. NCBI's taxonomy places the organism in Eukaryota, Metazoa, Chordata, Lepidosauria, Squamata, Elapidae.